CGGAGCGGCCGUCGGUGCAG
This 20-nucleotide non-coding RNA is filed under the name Arabidopsis thaliana (thale cress). The record is from RNAcentral. Lineage: Eukaryota; Viridiplantae; Streptophyta; Magnoliopsida; Brassicales; Brassicaceae.